Molecule: long non-coding RNA, 1310 nt
Filed under: Ananas comosus (pineapple)
Lineage: Eukaryota; Viridiplantae; Streptophyta; Magnoliopsida; Poales; Bromeliaceae
Description: long non-coding RNA (ACOM_LNC014190)
Source: RNAcentral
UUCAUUUUUUUGUUCACUUGAUGGAUAAGAGAACAAUAUCGAAAAUGUGUGAAAUUUGAUUUCCAGAUAGUUUAAAUAGUUUAGAUCAUAUUUAACGGUGCCGAUCAUCAAUUUGGAAGCUCUAUUAUCGAAAACAAAUCGGUAGUAAACCGAGUCAUUUACUACCGAUAGUAUUCUAGCAAAACUCAUAUAUGUAGAAAAUUCAAUAGUACCAAGGACUUGGUACUAACGAUAGUAUAGUAGCAUAAUUAAAUAUAUAUAUAUAAAUAUUUAUAUAUAAAUAAGUGUAGAGCUAUUAUGCUAUCGGAUGUAUAGAGGAUUUGAUACUUUCGAUUUUUUGACCCUUGGAUUAAGAAUUGCACCGGUGGAAUGAUUGCAGUCCCCUCUGGGAUUGAGCAGUACUACUAGGGUUGUGUGGCCCCCACAUGGUAAUACUAUUAAUUCAAAAGUUAAAAAUGAUUACAGGGGCUGAUCUAAGGGUCAAAAGUCGAAAGCAACAGAUACUCUAUACUUCUGAUAGUAUAGUAGCUCUACUCUUUACUUAUAUAGAGUAGGUAAAAACAUACAAAAUUUACCUCCAUUAUUAUGUUGGGUCGGCUAUCUAAUCUUUCAAAAUUUUAAUUUAUUUGAUUUGAGCUUGUCGAUGACGUUUUUAUUUUACAAUUUAAAUGCACUGUUUAUCUUUACAAAUUUAGUUAAUAUAUACUUUAUGUGAUUCUCUUAACUAUAAAUCAAUCAAAAUAAGUAAUUAGCUUAAAUUUUGAAGUCAAAGUAUCGUUCACUGAUUCAAAUCGAACAAAUUGAAAGAUUGAGUGGUAAACUAGCUGUCUCAAAAUGGUCUAUAGUACAGAUAAAUUCUAUAUGUUUUUUAUUUAUAAUAGAGUAUAAAUCUUAUGUCCAUAUAUCUUAAAAAAUUUAAAAUGUUUUUUCAAUUUUAUUUAUUAAAUAAAUAGUUGAUAAGACUAGUUAAAAAAUAUUAGGUUCCAGUUUUUCUUUUAUCGAAAGCCUUUUUUUUUUUUUUUUUUUUUUUUUUUCACACUAGCCGUAUUGCGGUUUUAUUUGAAAAUCUAUUUCUUGGAGGGAAUGGGUGUAAGUUUUAUAUCCAACAUUUGGAUGUUGUUACCAACCGUCUCUAGAGCAAGUGGCAAAAAAUUUGGUGGUUGAUAUUCGAGACUCAAGUUCGAAUCCUAGUUGAUAGUUGAUUCACAUUUCUAGUUAUGUUUAUUUUCAAAUGAAAUAAACGAAGCGGGUAGCGUGCUACUUAUCUCUCAAAAAAAAAAAAAUAUUUGAAUAAUGUUUUAACAAAUAAU